Molecule: long non-coding RNA, 539 nt
Organism: Lolium perenne
Lineage: Eukaryota; Viridiplantae; Streptophyta; Magnoliopsida; Poales; Poaceae
Source: RefSeq, a predicted model, not a curated record
UUUCCGGCUUUCCCUCUAUUGAUUCCUCCUAUUUAUAGACCCCUUCUAAUUAAUCCAGCGCAAUACCAAUAUUGCCCCGAAAAAAACUCAUCGAUCUGUUGACCACCGCAUCUGCCCCGCUCGAUUCACCGCCGCCGCCGCCCCGCGAGAUCCCCCCGGCGCCCCAAGCUUGCCCACCUUCCUCGUUCGCUGACUCUUGGGCGGCGCUGCUAUAUCCAGCCACCGGCAGCGAGCCAGCUGCAGGCUCGACACUCUUCACGACCUCACCGUCUUCCUCCCUGCCCCUCUGUCCCAGCAGCACCAGCUCGUGAAUCAUUGGUCCUCGCCGUCGCCGCCUCCCAGGUUGAAACGACAAUCUAAUAGUGAGGUCCAAUGGUUGGAUGUUUUGCUCGCGCAAGAACAAUUUUUUCUAUGGAAGACUAGAAGUAGCAAAUACAGUUAGUGUUUAUCGAUGGAUUGAAUAAUGUAUUUUUUAGAGUGUGUUCCAAAUAAUUUAAAUGUAAUGAAUGCUCUUUUAGUGGCGUCGUUCUUUAUGUUCA